GUGAGGAAUAUUGGUCAAUGGGCGCAAGCCUGAACCAGCCAUGCCGCGUGCAGGAAGACGGUCCUAUGGAUUGUAAACUGCUUUUAUUUGGGAAUAAACUCCGGUACGUGUACCGGCCUGAAGGUACCAAAUGAAUAAGCACCGACUAACUCCGUGCCAGCAGCCGCGGUAAUACGGCGGGUGCAAGCGUUAUCCGGCAUCAUUGGGCUCAAAGCGUCCGCAGGCGGUCUUAUAAGUCAGUGGUGAAAGCCUACAGCUCAACUGUAGAACUGCCAUUGAUACUGUAGGACUUGAAUUCGAUCGAAGUGGGCGGAAUGUGACAUGUGGCGGUGAAAUGCUUAGAUAUGUCACAGAACACCGAUAGCGAAGGCAGCUCACUAGGUGUGGAUUGACGCUCAGGGACGAAAGCGUGGGGAGCAAACAGGAUUAGAAACCCGGGUAGUCC
RNAcentral lists this ribosomal RNA (445 nucleotides) under uncultured bacterium. Its description in RNAcentral is "partial 16S ribosomal RNA". It matches the Rfam family "Bacterial small subunit ribosomal RNA", at positions 354 to 796 of the family's 1533-position model. The record is from RNAcentral.